Molecule: microRNA precursor, 83 nt
Organism: Drosophila grimshawi
Lineage: Eukaryota; Metazoa; Arthropoda; Insecta; Diptera; Drosophilidae
Rfam family: mir-999 microRNA precursor family
Source: Rfam
CUCAAUUACCAUGACAUAGUCGUACGGUGAAUGUUGUGUUUGGAGUCCAAUGUUAACUGUAAGACUGUGUCUUGGUGGUUGCC